GUUCAAAUCCUGGCUCCGCCAACUGUCAGCUGGCUUGUGAGCCCCCCGAAGAGCCAGUGACCAACGUCUGAUUCCCACAUGAAUAACUUCCCGACGCUCAGUACACUGAACACGGCAUUUCCUGAUCACGCGGACACAUCGGAGAGUUUGGCCUCGGUGGCCCCGAGAGGGUAAUAUCUCAAAGACUUUGAGGACACACCACCCCAGGAUGGAUUUGUGGGGAAACAGGAGCCCCAAACCGAUCGCACGUCGCUUAGGUGAAUCAGGUCGGAUAAACCUGUACUCAUCGACCGCAAACCUACUAGAUCGAUUGGUGUCUGGAUUAUUGCCGAGUCCUACGGAGAAUCCAGACCCUCCACGGUGAGAUUUUUUCCAGUUUCAAGGGUCCGAAUUUCCCAUUUGAAGGAGGGGAAGAAAGAAGUGCUUUGUGUUUGUGCGGCUGAACUCUAAUGAAACCAGGAAGAUGGAGACUGUGAGCCAUUUCCUUCGUUACACAUGUAGCGAUCCAGAUUUUCCUUGGCAAACGAGAAGUUCCCCCAAAUCCCUAGAGUUGGUGACAUCGCAGUUGGUAAGAUCUACUGGGGCAAGCGGGGAUAAGGAUCCGGUGGCUGAGGUCACAGUAGAUCAAGUUUUAGUAGUUCUGCGAUGGUCAAAACAGAAUGUUUUUAAGACGAUAAGUACGAGCGAUAAAGUGAUAUGCCCUGUAUUCAGAAUUUAAGACGAUAAGUACGAGCAAUAAAGGGAUAUGCCCUGUAUUCAGAAUCUACGAUAACUUUCCUGGUCCCUUUUCCCUUUUUCCUCUCCUCCUCCCCAUCCUCCCCCGCCCUACCUCC
Tachyglossus aculeatus (Australian echidna) is the source of this 833-nucleotide long non-coding RNA. RefSeq lists it as uncharacterized. NCBI's taxonomy places the organism in Eukaryota, Metazoa, Chordata, Mammalia, Monotremata, Tachyglossidae. The record is from RefSeq and is a predicted model, not a curated record. The transcript has 4 exons.